RNAcentral lists this ribosomal RNA (400 nucleotides) under uncultured Acidobacteriota bacterium. RNAcentral's name for it is "uncultured Acidobacteria bacterium partial 16S ribosomal RNA". The record is from RNAcentral. Lineage: Bacteria; Pseudomonadati; Acidobacteriota.
AGAGCUUGAUCCUGACUCAGAAUCAACGCUGGCGGCGUGCCUAACACAUGCAAGUCGAACGAGAAAGUGGAGCAAUCCAUGAGUACAGUGGCGACCGGGUGAGUNACCGUGACACCCGCGCGGGUGUGGAAAAAAACCCCCCCGGGGAACCGCGCAACCAACCCCCCAUAUCCAAAAAAACACAACCGCCGGGGGGGCCGCGGAGGGGGGGGGGGCGCCAAGACAAAAAGUUUNGUGGCCCCCAGAGAGCCGACCCCACCAGCGCCCCCCCACCGGGCCCCCGGGCCCCGAGAAGGGCCCCCGGGGAGCCGCGGGAAGCGGGAACCCCGGGCCGCCCAGCCCCCAACGCCAGCGCCCGCCGGCGGGCGAGAGCGGGCACCAGGGGGGGGGGCCACCCGAC